CGGGGGGAGCAAGCGUUGUUCGGAAUCACUGGGCGUAAAGGGCGUGUAGGCGGUCAAGUAGGUGUGAUGUGAAAUCCCUCGGCUCACCCGAGGACCGGCAUCGCAUACUGCUUGGCUUGAGUACGGGAGAGGAUGUGGGAAUUCCUGGUGUAGCGGUGAAAUGCGUAGAUAUCAGGAGGAACACCGGUGGCGAAGGCGCACAUCUGGCCCGAUACUGACGCUGAGGCGCGAAAGCUAGGGGAGCAAACGGGAUUAGAUACCCCGGUAGUCCUAGCCGUAAACGGUGAUCACUAGGUGUUGGAGGCAUUGACCCCUCCAGUGCCGCAGCUAACGCAUUAAGUGAUCCGCCUGGGGAGUACGGCCGCAAGGUUG
This 372-nucleotide ribosomal RNA is filed under the name uncultured organism. RNAcentral describes it as "bacterial SSU rRNA". It matches the Rfam family "Bacterial small subunit ribosomal RNA", at positions 526 to 896 of the family's 1533-position model. The record is from RNAcentral.